UACGUAGGUGGCAAGCGUUGUCCGGAUUUACUGGGCGUAAAGAGCGCGCAGGCGGUCGGAUAAGUCGAGUGUGAAAGCCCCUGGCUCAACCAGGGAGGGUCAUUCGAUACUGUUCGACUCGAAGGCAGGAGAGGGAAGUGGAAUUCCGGGUGUAGUGGUGAAAUGCGUAGAUAUCCGGAGGAACACCGGUGGCGAAGGCGGGUCUCUGGGCCGAUACUGACGCUGAGGAGCGAAAGCGUGGGGAGCAAACAGG
Molecule: ribosomal RNA, 253 nt
Filed under: uncultured bacterium
Lineage: Bacteria
Description: partial 16S ribosomal RNA
Rfam family: Bacterial small subunit ribosomal RNA
Source: RNAcentral